Molecule: ribosomal RNA, 636 nt
Filed under: Weissella confusa
Lineage: Bacteria; Bacillati; Bacillota; Bacilli; Lactobacillales; Lactobacillaceae
Description: bacterial SSU rRNA
Rfam family: Eukaryotic small subunit ribosomal RNA
Source: RNAcentral
GGGGAGUAUGGUCACAAGGCUGAAACUUAAAGGAAUUGACGGAAGGGCACACCAGGAGUGGAGCCUGCGGCUUAAUUUGACUCAACACGGGAAAACUUACCAAGACCGAACAGUAUUAGGAAUGACAGAUUAAGGGUUCUUUCAUGAUUUAUUGGGUAGUGGUGCAUGGCCGUUCUUAGUUGGUGGAGUGAUUUGUCAGGUUAAUUCCGGUAACGAACGAGACUGAAGCCUAUUAAUUAGUUUCUCGCCUAUAAGACGAGAAUGUCCGUAUGGAUGGAUGCUUUUGCAUCACUUCUUAAAGGGACUAAUAUCAAUUGUUUCUCGGUUGAUAAGUGCGACCAUCUCGAUGGUACCUUUUCAAUCGGAAAAAAAGAUAAUGGAAGCAUUCAGCAAUAACAGGUCUGUGAUGCCCUUAGACAUCUUGGGCUGCACGCGCGCUACAAUGGAGAUACUAGCGAGUAUUUGUCGGGGAUGCUCGGUUUAUCGGCUCUGUCGGUAGAUCGAGAUUUUCCCCGAUGUACCGAGACUGAAAUAGUUUAGGAAAACUCAAAAGAUCGUACAUGACAGGGAUAAAUGAUUGGAAUUAUUUGUUUUGAACGAGGAAUUCCUUGUAAUAUCGAGUCAUUAGCUCGAGAU